UUAGAGAGACACUCAUAGAG
This 20-nucleotide microRNA is filed under the name Gallus gallus (chicken). Its description in RNAcentral is "gga-miR-6582-5p". Lineage: Eukaryota; Metazoa; Chordata; Aves; Galliformes; Phasianidae. The record is from miRBase by way of RNAcentral.